GUGUUGUGUGAAAGGAGAAAAGAUUAACUCUCCUCUUCAUAAAGAUGGAAGAGGUCCUAGUGACCUUUACAGUACAUAUAAUUAAAGUAUUUCCACUUACUCUGUGGCAUCCCAUCAUGUUUGGUU
Small nuclear RNA from Phascolarctos cinereus (koala), 126 nucleotides. The record is from Ensembl. Lineage: Eukaryota; Metazoa; Chordata; Mammalia; Diprotodontia; Phascolarctidae.